Molecule: transfer RNA, 67 nt
Filed under: Marmota monax (woodchuck)
Lineage: Eukaryota; Metazoa; Chordata; Mammalia; Rodentia; Sciuridae
Description: tRNA.Val
Source: RNAcentral
GGUUGUGGCUCAGUGGUAGAGCACUCACCUGACAUGAAUGAGGCACUGGGUUCAAUCCUCAGCACCA